RNAcentral lists this ribosomal RNA (705 nucleotides) under Triticum aestivum (bread wheat). Its description in RNAcentral is "partial small subunit ribosomal RNA". The record is from RNAcentral. Lineage: Eukaryota; Viridiplantae; Streptophyta; Magnoliopsida; Poales; Poaceae.
AUGCAAGAAGAAUUUCUUAACCUUACAAGACGAUCGAAACACAAAGGAAAGAGCAAAGAAAUUAAGGAAACAAAUCAAAUCAUGGCGUGCGCCAAGAACUUGCGGCGAACGAUGAUGAUAAAAAUCGAUGCGAGUCUAAGAGCUAAAGCUAUGAUCACCCACCUCCUCGAUCACCUCCAACAUACGUACGUGAGCCAUCCAUUAAUGUCUGUCGCCUCCUACGCUUGCUUGCCUGGCGCUGCUUCAAAACCCUACAUGCGCGUACGUGCCGUUGAUCUGAGGACCCAAUGCAUGGCAUGGAUGGAUGCAUCCAAUCCUUGCACGUGUAUUGCUGACCUCGCUCCAUCCAUCUCCACCGAUCAUGGCCUCCACGCGCUCGCCCACACCAGAGGCUGCUCCUUCCAAGCGAGGAACACGCCGGCUCCGGCCGCCGAGUCAUCCGUGCCGGCCUCCCGCAUCGACCAGCCCUCCCGGUACCGGCGCAGAAGCGACCGCACGUCGUCGGCUACGUCCUCGCUGAAUGGCACCGGUGAGAACCCGGCCGACCGCAACCGCCGCGCCCACGCCGCCGCCGUCUCCCGCCGCUCCAUGGACUCCGACGCUGGGCACGAGACCAGGUCAACAAUGGCACGCCCUGCUCCCCUCUCCAAUGCCAGCCUCUCGUUGCUGGUCUUGGGGAAGCUCUCCUCUAGCGAGUCCAUGUAA